Ictalurus punctatus (channel catfish) is the source of this 1025-nucleotide long non-coding RNA. RefSeq lists it as uncharacterized. The transcript is spliced from 3 exons. The record is from RefSeq and is a predicted model, not a curated record. Lineage: Eukaryota; Metazoa; Chordata; Actinopteri; Siluriformes; Ictaluridae.
CUGAGUGUUAUAUUUUCAUUCAGUAGUAAUCGGUUAUUAGUAGGUGCUACCCGACUUGGUUAUCGGCAUCUGUAAGAUCCACUGUCGAUCAGCCUUUAAAAUAGAUUAAUGUGUAUGACAUGAUCUUCUUUAAUUAAUAACGAAAUGCGCUUGUUGACAACUUGCUGUGGUGUAAGGGGAAUAAAACACUUCAGAAUGUGCAGUUCUACCUUAGGGUGAUAACGGUCACUCCACUUCAUUGGAUCGUUGACUGUUUUCCUAUAACCGUAUGUUUAUUCCUUACAUAAAUUAAACACAAAGCAUGUAGGGGUUCUACAUGCAUGUAGUAUUUGUACAAUCAAUAACCUAUUAGAGUAAUACAUUGUGGUAUAUAAACUGAACUUUGUGUUUGAUGUGUCUGCAGUGCCCAAAGCCCGUGGUGGUGGAAGUGCAUGGCGUUUGUGUGGAAGCAGGUCUGUUGGGAGUGUUAAGUACCAUCAUCUCAUACACUCACCACAACUCUGGGAAGUUCCAUCCAUAUUGUUUGCUGUCACUUUUCCUGCAACGCUUUAACCAUCAGAGAGUUAUCUUUUACUGGGGCUUUUAGCUGCAGGAGACUGAAUUACUAAGUUUUUUUUUUUGUGGAUCUGAUUUCUUCUUUCGCAGGAGUGGAUCUAAUCACAGCCUGUGAUAUUCGUCUGUGCACACAGGAUGCCUGGUUUCAGGUGAAGUCGUGUGUUCCCUGAUAGUCCAUGAUUGCUGGAGCUCUGGAAAUAGCAGGUGAGAUUGCAGGCCGGAGUCGCCGUCGCUGUCCAAGGAACCAAAAUCAACCUCCUCUACUCCUGAGACCACAGUGUGACUGAGAGCCUAGACUACAUGGCUACUUGGAACAUGAACAUGUUGCAGACACAGGAUCUUAUGAAGUCAGCGCAGGCAGCCCUGGAAAAGAAGAGUCCGAAAGACGUGCCCUUCUCCAAGCUUUAAAGGAGAAGAUCCAGGGCUGUUGAAGCUGCGGUGGAACUGAGACAUCAUCAUCCACAUAUCUU